This is a long non-coding RNA of Phacochoerus africanus (Common warthog), 844 nucleotides long. RefSeq lists it as uncharacterized. The transcript has 3 exons. The record is from RefSeq and is a predicted model, not a curated record. Lineage: Eukaryota; Metazoa; Chordata; Mammalia; Artiodactyla; Suidae.
AGAGUAUAGCGGCCGGGUGGCGGUGCCUUUGUGGAUCCGGUUCCUAGCCUGAGAGGAGGGUACAUGAGAUGUGAUGGUGCCAACUUUCUGUGCCCCUUCAAUUUGGAACAUGUGGUCAUCAAAGAAGAUGUGGGGCCUUAUCUUCACCAAGAUGGGACCUUUGGCAGCUCCAGCAAGGAAAAGAGCUUCGUCUAUCUCUAGACCCCAGCGACGAAGGGUUUUCAGCACACGGGCGCCUGAACUGGCUGCACUCCUGGCUGUAACCAGCCCAUCGUUCUCAUUUGCUUCAAUUCAACAACAAAACACUGAGAAUCAGCUUUGUCACAAGCAACAUCCCAGGCACUGACGAUCCAAAGGCGGCAGAACAGACUCUGAGGUUAGUAAAGCUUCUCUUUUUCCUCUCUUUGUCUCUCUCUUGACAAAUGGACAAUGGAUGGCCUCCUCUCCGAGUGCACACAAAGGUCAAAACAUGCCUGUCCGUGACUAUGGCCCUUUGUGUUUUGUGCUUCUCUUUACUGUGCUUAUGUUCCAAGGCUCGACGACACAUUCUGCAGUGCCCACUGAUAAAUAGUAGGCAGAGAAUGGAUGAGAAUCAUUAUGAAGAGGGAGAAACUGUCCAGAUGUUAGUAGCUCAUAAUGUUUUAAUUUGGAGGAGUACUUUCCCCAACGCCAUCACCAAAGGUUUGUCUUUGGUUUAUUUGUGUUAUCACAACAGUGACGAUGGAGUUAAAUGCAGCCUUUGAAAAGAGGAUUUUUGCUUGUUUCAUUUAUAUUCUACUGUUCUUUCAUUAAACAUUUCUAAAUAUCCACGGGGCUCAAUUCUUACAAAAAUAAAUCAGAUAAA